CCUACGGGUGGCAGCAGUGAGGAAUAUUGGUCAAUGGACGAGAGUCUGAACCAGCCAAGUAGCGUGAAGGAUGAAUGCACUAGGGGUCGUAAACCUCUUUUAUAAAGGAACAAAACGAGGCACGUGUGCCUUUUUGCAUGUACUUGAUGAAUAAGGAUCGGCUAACUCCGUGCCAGCAGCCGCGGUAAUACGGAGGAUCCGAGCGUUAUCCGGAUUUAUUGGGUUUAAAGGGAGCGUAGGUGGGUUGUUAAGUCAGUUGUGAAAGUUUGCGGCUCAACCGUAAAAGUGCAAUUGAUACUGGCAGUCUUGAGUACAGGUGAGGUAGGCGGAAUUCGUGGUGUAGCGGUGAAAUGCUUAGAUAUCACGAAGAACCCCGAUUGCGAAGGCAGCUUGCUAAAC
This 399-nucleotide ribosomal RNA is filed under the name uncultured bacterium. Its description in RNAcentral is "partial 16S ribosomal RNA". It matches the Rfam family "Bacterial small subunit ribosomal RNA", at positions 338 to 734 of the family's 1533-position model. The record is from RNAcentral.